This 529-nucleotide ribosomal RNA is filed under the name uncultured archaeon. Its description in RNAcentral is "bacterial SSU rRNA". It matches the Rfam family "Archaeal small subunit ribosomal RNA", at positions 323 to 855 of the family's 1478-position model. The record is from RNAcentral.
UUACGGGGUGCAGCAGGCGCGAAAACUCCGCAAUGCACGAAAGUGUGACGGGGUCAGCCAGAGUGUCCGUGCAUCGCGCGGACUGUCCAGGUGUGUAAAGAGCACCUGAUAGCAAGGGCUGGGCAAGGCCGGUGGCAGCCGCCGCGGUAAUACCGGCAGCCCGAGUGGCGGCCACUAUUAUUGGGCUUAAAGCGUCCGUAGCCGGCUUGGCAAGUCCCCUGGGAAAUCUGGCCGCUUAACGGUCAGACUGCUGGGGGAUACUGCUAGGCUUGGGACCGGGAAAGGCUGAGGGUAUUCCUGGGGUAGGGGUGAAAUCCUGUAAUCCCGGGAAGACCACCUGUGGCGAAGGCGCUCAGCUGGAACGGGUCCGACGGUGAGGGACGAAGGCCUGGGGCGCGAACGGGAUUAGAUACCCCGGUAGUCCAGGCUGUAAACCAUGCGGACUAGGUGUCACUAGAGCCACGAGCUCUGGUGGUGCCGUAGGGAAACCGUUAAGUCUGCCGCCUGGAAGUACCGUCGCAGAAGUCCC